Molecule: transfer RNA, 75 nt
Filed under: Reyranella sp.
Lineage: Bacteria; Pseudomonadati; Pseudomonadota; Alphaproteobacteria; Hyphomicrobiales; Reyranellaceae
Also listed under: 3 other names
Description: tRNA-Pro
Rfam family: tRNA
About the family: Transfer RNA (tRNA) molecules are approximately 80 nucleotides in length. Their secondary structure includes four short double-helical elements and three loops (D, anti-codon, and T loops).
Source: RNAcentral
CGGGGAGUAGCGCAGCCCGGUUAGCGCGCAGCGUUCGGGACGCUGAGGCCGGAGGUUCGAAUCCUCUCUCCCCGA